UCAAGCAGAAUAUGAAAGCGUACGGCUCAACCGUAUACACGUAUCCUGAACUGUUAAACUAGAGGGCGAGAGAGGUUUCUAGAAUUUCUUGUGUAGGAGUGAAAUCCGUAGAUAUAAGAAGGAAUACCGAUGGCGUAGGCAGGAAACUGGCUCGCACCUGACACUAAGGCACGAAAGCGUGGGUAGCAAACGGGAUUAGAUACCCCGGUAGUCCACGCCGUAAACUAUGGAUGCUA
RNAcentral lists this ribosomal RNA (236 nucleotides) under uncultured Candidatus Saccharibacteria bacterium. RNAcentral's name for it is "partial 16S ribosomal RNA". It matches the Rfam family "Bacterial small subunit ribosomal RNA", at positions 583 to 818 of the family's 1533-position model. Lineage: Bacteria; Candidatus Saccharimonadota. The record is from RNAcentral.